Molecule: ribosomal RNA, 412 nt
Filed under: uncultured Pseudomonadota bacterium
Lineage: Bacteria; Pseudomonadati; Pseudomonadota
Description: bacterial SSU rRNA
Rfam family: Bacterial small subunit ribosomal RNA
Source: RNAcentral
UGUCAGCAGCCGCGGUAAUACAGAGGGUGCGAGCGUUAAUCGGAAUUACUGGGCGUAAAGGGUGCGUAGGCGGUCUUUUAAGUCGGAUGUGAAAUCCCUGGGCUUAACCUAGGAAUUGCAUACGAUACUGCAAGACUUGAGUACAGUAGAGGAUAGUGGAAUUCCACGUGUAGCGGUGAAAUGCGUAGAUAUGUGGAGGAACACCAGUGGCGAAGGCGGCUAUCUGGACUGAUACUGACGCUGAGGCACGAAAGCGUGGGGAGCAAACAGGAUUAGAUACCCUGGUAGUCCACGCCCUAAACGAUGGGAACUAGCUGUUGGGAGAAAUUAAUCUCUUAGUAGCGAAGCUAACGCGUUAAGUUCCCCGCCUGGGGAGUACGGUCGCAAGAUUAAAACUCAAAGAAAUUGGCGG